CCUAGGGAGGCAGCAGUGAGGAAUAUUGGUCAAUGGGCGCGAGCCUGAACCAGCCAAGUCGCGUGAGGGAAGACGGUCCUAUGGAUUGUAAACCUCUUUUGUCGGGGAGCAAAAGACGCCACGCGUGGCGUUCCGAGAGUACCCGAAGAAAAAGCAUCGGCUAACUCCGUGCCAGCAGCCGCGGUAAUACGGAGGAUGCGAGCGUUAUCCGGAUUUAUUGGGUUUAAAGGGUGCGUAGGCGGACGCUUAAGUCAGCGGUAAAAUUGCGGGGCUCAACCUCGUCGAGCCGUUGAAACUGGGUGCCUUGAGUGGGCGAGAGGUACGCGGAAUGCGUGGUGUAGCGGUGAAAUGCAUAGAUAUCACGCAGAACCCCGAUUGCGAAGGCAGUCUGCCAAGCCAUGACUGACGCUGAUGCACGAAAGCGUGGGGAUCAAACAGGAUUAGAUACCCGAGUAGUC
Molecule: ribosomal RNA, 458 nt
Filed under: uncultured bacterium
Lineage: Bacteria
Description: partial 16S ribosomal RNA
Rfam family: Bacterial small subunit ribosomal RNA
Source: RNAcentral